RNAcentral lists this ribosomal RNA (450 nucleotides) under uncultured bacterium. Its description in RNAcentral is "partial 16S ribosomal RNA". It matches the Rfam family "Bacterial small subunit ribosomal RNA", at positions 29 to 507 of the family's 1533-position model. The record is from RNAcentral.
AUGAACGCUGGCGGCGUGCCUAACACAUGCAAGUCGAGCGGCAGCGAGGGGUGCUUGCACCCUGUCGGCGAGCGGCGGACGGCUGAGUAACGCGUGGGAACGUGCCCCAAAGUGAGGAAUAACUGCCCGAAAGGGUAGCUAAUACCGCAUAUUAUCUUCGGAUCAAAGGAUUUAUCCGCUUUGGGAGCGGCUCGCGUCGGAUUAGGUAGUUGGUGAGGUAAUGGCUCACCAAGCCGACGAUCCGUAGCUGGUCUGAGAGGAUGACCAGCCAGACUGGAACUGAGACACGGUCCAGACUCCUACGGGAGGCAGCAGUGAGGAAUCUUCCACAAUGGGCGAAAGCCUGAUGGAGCAACGCCGCGUGCAGGACGAAGGCCUUCGGGUUGUAAACUGCUUUUAUAAGUGAGGAAUAUGACGGUAACUUAUGAAUAAGAAUCGGCUAACUACGUG